GUGAGGAAUAUUGGUCAAUGGGCGAGAGCCUGAACCAGCCAAGUCGCGUGAAGGAAGAAGGAUCUAUGGUUCGUAAACUUCUUUUGCAGGGGAAUAAAGUGCAGGACGUGUCCUGUUUUGUAUGUACCCUGAGAAGAAGGAUCGGCUAACUCCGUGCCAGCAGCCGCGGUAAUACGGAGGAUCCGAGCGUUAUCCGGAUUUAUUGGGUUUAAAGGGUGCGUAGGUGGUUUGAUAAGUCAGCGGUGAAAGUUUGCAGCUUAACUGUAAAAAUGCCGUUGAAACUGUCGGACUUGAGUGUAAAUGAGGUAGGCGGAAUGCGUGGUGUAGCGGUGAAAUGCAUAGAUAUCACGCAGAACUCCGAUUGCGAAGGCAGCUUACUAAGCUACAACUGACACUGAAGCACGAAAGCGUGGGGAUCAAACAGGAUUAGAUACCCCUGUAGUCC
This 445-nucleotide ribosomal RNA is filed under the name uncultured bacterium. Its description in RNAcentral is "partial 16S ribosomal RNA". It matches the Rfam family "Bacterial small subunit ribosomal RNA", at positions 354 to 796 of the family's 1533-position model. The record is from RNAcentral.